Molecule: ribosomal RNA, 440 nt
Filed under: uncultured bacterium
Lineage: Bacteria
Description: partial 16S ribosomal RNA
Rfam family: Bacterial small subunit ribosomal RNA
Source: RNAcentral
CCUACGGGGGGCAGCAGUGGGGAAUAUUGCACAAUGGCGGAAACCCUGAUGCAGCGACGCCGCGUGAAGGAAGAAGUAUUUCGGUAUGUAAACCUCUAUCAGCAGGGAAGAAAAUGACGGUACCUGACUAAGAAGCCCCGUCUAACUACGUGCCAGCAGCCGCGGCAAUAUGGAGGGGGCAAGCGUUAUCCGGAUUUACUGGGUGUAAAGGGAGCGUAGGCGGUGAUGCAAGGCAGAAGUGAAAGCCCGCAGCUCAACUGCGGGACUGCUUUUGAAACUGUGGAACUAGAGUGCAGGAGAGGUAAGUGGAAUGCGUGGGGUAGCGGUGAAAUGCGUAGAUAUUAGGAGGAACACCAGUGGCGAAGGCGGCUUACUGGACUGUAAAUGACGCUGAGGCUCGAAAGCGUGGGGAGCAAACAGGAUUAGAUACCCCAGUAGUC